AUUGAACGCUGGCGGCAGGCCUAACACAUGCAAGUCGAGCGGAUGAAGGGAGCUUUCUCCUGUAUUCAGCGGAGGACGGGUGAGUAAUUCCUAGGAAUCUGCCUGGUCUUUGGGGAUAACGUCCGGACACGGGCGCUAAUAUCGCAUACGUCCUGAGGGAGAAAGUGGGGGAUCUUUGGACCUCACGCUAUCUGAUGAGCCUAGGUCGUAUUAGCUAGUUGGUGGGGUAAAGGCCUACCAAGGCGACGAUCCGUAACUGGCCUGAGAGGAUGAUCAGUCACACUGGAACUGAGACACGGUCCAGACUCCUACGGGAGGCAGCAGUGGGGAAUAUUGGGCAAUGGGCGAAAGCCUGAUCCAGCCAUGCCGCGUGUGUGAAGAAGGUCUUCGGAUUGUAAAGCACUUUAAGUUGGGAGGAAGAGCAGUAAGUUAAUACCUUGCUGUUUUGACGUUACCAACAGAAUAAGCACCGGCUAACUUCGUG
This 484-nucleotide ribosomal RNA is filed under the name uncultured bacterium. RNAcentral's name for it is "partial 16S ribosomal RNA". It matches the Rfam family "Bacterial small subunit ribosomal RNA", at positions 30 to 507 of the family's 1533-position model. The record is from RNAcentral.